UUCUUAUCACGAGAAGUGGAGGGACUGGCCCUAUGAAACUUCAGCAACCAGUUACGUUUGUAACAAGGUGCUAAAUCCAGUAAGCAUAUUUGCUUAGAAGAUAAGAA
RNAcentral lists this non-coding RNA (107 nucleotides) under Priestia endophytica. RNAcentral describes it as "Bacillus endophyticus SAM-I sequence". It matches the Rfam family "SAM riboswitch aptamer (S box leader)". Rfam says of the family: The SAM riboswitch is found upstream of a number of genes which code for proteins involved in methionine or cysteine biosynthesis in Gram-positive bacteria. The SAM riboswitch acts at the level of transcription termination control. Lineage: Bacteria; Bacillati; Bacillota; Bacilli; Caryophanales; Bacillaceae. The record is from Rfam by way of RNAcentral.